AGGUUCCUUGGAUGAGUGGCUUAGUCAGCGGUCUGCAAAACCGUGUACGGCGGUUCGAAUCCGCCAGGAACCUCCAA
This 77-nucleotide transfer RNA is filed under the name Phocaeicola vulgatus PC510. RNAcentral's name for it is "tRNA-Cys". It matches the Rfam family "tRNA". From Rfam's summary of the family: Transfer RNA (tRNA) molecules are approximately 80 nucleotides in length. Their secondary structure includes four short double-helical elements and three loops (D, anti-codon, and T loops). Further hydrogen bonds mediate the characteristic L-shaped molecular structure. tRNAs have two regions of fundamental functional importance: the anti-codon, which is responsible for specific mRNA codon recognition, and the 3' end, to which the tRNAs corresponding amino acid is attached (by aminoacyl-tRNA synthetases). tRNAs cope with the degeneracy of the genetic code in two manners: having more than one tRNA (with a specific anti-codon) for a particular amino acid; and 'wobble' base-pairing, i.e. permitting non-standard base-pairing at the 3rd anti-codon position. The record is from RNAcentral. Lineage: Bacteria; Pseudomonadati; Bacteroidota; Bacteroidia; Bacteroidales; Bacteroidaceae.